UGUGAAGCAUGGCUCAGGAGGGCAGCCUUUCUCCAUCCACACUGGGCAGCGAUUCUGCACACCUGGCCGGGACAUCUUACACUGCUUCUCUCUCAGGCGGAGUUUUUAACUCACAGCCUCAGGACUUAACUAUUUCUAUCCUGCUUGCUAAGUUGGCAGAUGAGGGAGGAAUUUGAAGCUCAAAAAGACUGAAUCUUGCUACAGCACCAUGUUGUAGGUUGCCUGGACCACACCACUUUGUACUUGCUCAUUUUCAAAGCUAAAACAUCG
Artibeus jamaicensis (Jamaican fruit-eating bat) is the source of this 270-nucleotide long non-coding RNA. RefSeq lists it as uncharacterized. The transcript is spliced from 3 exons. The record is from RefSeq and is a predicted model, not a curated record. NCBI's taxonomy places the organism in Eukaryota, Metazoa, Chordata, Mammalia, Chiroptera, Phyllostomidae.